GCGACAACAAGCCUGCUCCUGCUGGGCUACCCCACAGGGGUGGGACCAUGGCUGGUCCCACCCUGGCUGUGCGCUAUGGUCUGCCAUGGUCCCCAAUCUCUGGGACCGAGGUGCCUGGAUCCUGGCCCAACUGGCAUCUCACCAGCAGUGGUGUCGCCCACCACAUUAUCCCAUCUGUUCCCUUUCCCCCGCCCACUGUGCAGGUAAGAGGACCCUAGGUUCCUGGCCGGGAGGAGACUGGGAGCCCAGACUCCUGUGUCUGAAGGAGAGGCCUGGGGGUCCAGACACCUGCUGAGAGAAAAGCGGAUAGGGCGCUCGGGCUCCUCUCUGACUGAAGGAGGAGGGAGGGUCCCAGAGUCCUGGGUCUGAGAGAGGAGGGGCCAGCGAACGUGGACGCCUGGGAGGAAAGGGUUGAGGACUGCCGGGGAGAGAUCAGGGCUCGCGGGCCAGACUUGAAUCCUUUUAGCCGACGUCCUUGUCCCCAGUCCACGGUCGCGGAGCCCCUGCCCCCGGCCGCAAAGCAGGAUUUACACAUCUGGGAUUUUGACGAGGUCAUCAGCAGAUGGGAGACCACCUAUGGCUCGGCUUCCGUGCCCAAGACCCUCGGCGGGCCCUACGCACAGCCCAGGGCCCCAGAGCCUUCAGACCCCACGCGGACUGUGGGGAUCAAGGAUUUAGGAGAAAAGGUGAGGUGCUGGGAUGCAGAGGUCCGCGGGGGGGGGGAGGAGGUCAGGGGUGGGGAACGCGCUGGAGCACGAGGCACCCUCACGUUGGGUCCCCGCGUCGCCUUCCCGCAGCUCAGACGCCGCGGCUGGCGCCUCCCGCUGGUCACAGAGCACCAGUGCAGUGAGACGAGGGCUCAGUACAGCGGCCGGCCGGGCCCGGACCGGAGCCCCACCUUCUACGUCGGGCCCCAGCCCCUGGAGCUUGCGGGCCACCACCGCGGAGGCCCUUCCCAGGUAGCGGAGAAGACCCGCUGCCACCUUGGGGCAGAGCCUGUAGCGCCUGAGGAGGGGCCGGAGGGGCUUUGAGGCUUGGGACCGGACUAGGAGAGCCUGGGGCGGGGAAUUCUGAGUCUGGGGUCGGGGUUAAAUGAUGUGGAAUGGAAUCAGGUUACAGAGCCCGGGGGUGGAGCUUGGACGUCUUGAGGUGGGGCCAGAAGGAGGAGGGGACCGGGACCGAAAUCGCAGCUCUGAAGCCGGGGCCGCGACCAGUAAAUCCCGGGGCGGGGCAGGGAGGGGGGUUCUGAGGCGGGGGUCGGAGCGAGGUAGCGGAAGGUGCGUGGGGCGGGCCUUGAAUAUUCUGAGACCAGAUCGGGUCGGGAGGCGGCGCUAGGCUUCCUUAGAGAGAGGAUGAAGCGAAGAGGUACGUCUGUCCUACCUGCGACUGAAUUCCAGGGGCGGGACGUGGAAGCUGAGUCUGGGGGCGGAGCUGGGAAAGUUUUGGGGGGCGGUGGGGGGGGGGAGCUGGGCCUUGUGUUCGACGACCCGCAAGUGUUUGGAUUUUGGAGUAACCCUCAUAAGGGCUCUGAUUUGGGGGAGCGAAGAUAAAGCGUUCUGGCUUGCGACUGGUCAGGAAGGAUUCGGAUUCAUCCAAGGAAGAGGCAUCCUGAGCCUGGGCCCCCGGGCUUGGGAUGGGUAUGAAACCUUGCUUCAUCCCUCCUCCCCCGAUCCUCCGCAGCCUUUAAUCCCUUGGACGAAGAACCCCGAGCUGUCCGGCCAGCCUUUCACGGUAUCUGACCAGGGCGUCCUGGACCGCCAUCAGCUCUAUCUGACCACCUCGGCCAAGGACUUCCGGGCCUAUCCGAAG
This 1809-nucleotide long non-coding RNA is filed under the name Lynx pardinus (Iberian lynx). Lineage: Eukaryota; Metazoa; Chordata; Mammalia; Carnivora; Felidae. The record is from RNAcentral.